RNAcentral lists this transfer RNA (64 nucleotides) under Nephus voeltzkowi. Its description in RNAcentral is "tRNA-Trp". The record is from RNAcentral. Lineage: Eukaryota; Metazoa; Arthropoda; Insecta; Coleoptera; Coccinellidae.
AAGGAUUUAAGUUAAACAAACUAAUAACCUUCAAAGUUAUAAAUAGAAAAGAUUCUAAGCCUUA